This 204-nucleotide ribosomal RNA is filed under the name uncultured bacterium. Its description in RNAcentral is "partial 16S ribosomal RNA". It matches the Rfam family "Bacterial small subunit ribosomal RNA", at positions 524 to 729 of the family's 1533-position model. The record is from RNAcentral.
UACGUAGGGUGCAAGCGUUGUUCGGAAUUACUGGGCGUAAAGCGCACGUAGGCGGAUAUUUAAGUCAGGGGUGAAAUCCUGGAGCUCAACUCCAGAACUGCCUUUGAUACUGAGGAUCUUGAGUUCGGGAGAGGUGAGUGGAACUGCGAGUGUAGAGGUGAAAUUCGUAGAUAUUCGCAAGAACACCAGUGCGAAGGCGCUCAC